This 720-nucleotide ribosomal RNA is filed under the name Salmonella enterica subsp. enterica serovar Agona. RNAcentral describes it as "partial 23S ribosomal RNA". It matches the Rfam family "Bacterial large subunit ribosomal RNA", at positions 582 to 1298 of the family's 2925-position model. Lineage: Bacteria; Pseudomonadati; Pseudomonadota; Gammaproteobacteria; Enterobacterales; Enterobacteriaceae. The record is from RNAcentral.
CCCUUUGGGGUGUGACUGCGUACCUUUUGUAUAAUGGGUCAGCGACUUAUAUUCUGUAGCAAGGUUAACCGAAUAGGGGAGCCGGAGGGAAACCGAGUCUUAAUUGGGCGUUAAGUUGCAGGGUAUAGACCCGAAACCCGGUGAUCUAGCCAUGGGCAGGUUGAAGGUUGGGUAACACUAACUGGAGGACCGAACCGACUAAUGUUGAAAAAUUAGCGGAUGACCUGUGGCUGGGGGUGAAAGGCCAAUCAAACCGGGAGAUAGCUGGUUCUCCCCGAAAGCUAUUUAGGUAGCGCCUCGUGAAUUCAUCUCCGGGGGUAGAGCACUGUUUCGGCUAGGGGGCCAUCCCGGCUUACCAACCCGAUGCAAACUGCGAAUACCGGAGAAUGUUAUCACGGGAGACACACGGCGGGUGCUAACGUCCGUCGUGAAGAGGGAAACAACCCAGACCGCCAGCUAAGGUCCCAAAGUCAUGGUUAAGUGGGAAACGAUGUGGGAAGGCCCAGACAGCCAGGAUGUUGGCUUAGAAGCAGCCAUCAUUUAAAGAAAGCGUAAUAGCUCACUGGUCGAGUCGGCCUGCGCGGAAGAUGUAACGGGGCUAAACCAUGCACCGAAGCUGCGGCAGCGAACGUAUCACUUAAAGCGAUUCAGCGGGUUACGAUUGACGGAGCGAAGCGACGUCAAAGCGUAUACAAAGUCGAGUCGGUUUAAGGAUACGUU